GAACUGGAGUGCAUCACUUCAAUAUCAGAUAAAAGGACCCUGAACAAACUGAUCAACAUCUUGGACAAUGACUGUCAUCAGGCAGUAAUGGGGGCUCAGAUAGGGAGCACAGGGGGAAACCUACCAUUUACCAACUAGACACCUGAAUGGCAUGGCAGACCUUUCUAGGAGAUGAUGUAGAUGAUCCUGAAGACCAGUACAUGUGAUCCCAUUUGGCCAUGGCCUUUGACCUCAUUGCUGAAGCACACCCAAAAUGCCUAGUAUUACCAAAGAUGGUCUGUCACUUUUUGACGACUUUUUUGACCGUGCAGCUCAGCCCUGCACUCGCCCAGGCUCAAACCCGCAAUUGGCUGCCAAUCGAAUUGGGAGUCUGGAGCUUCAGCAUUGUUUCAGUUUUAUCUUUGUAUGUUUUUGUUACCAGCUGGCUAUGGACGGAUUAUGAGCCACUGGGCACAGGUCUACGUGAAAAGCCCCCCCACACAAGGCUUGACUGUGGGGCCCCAUUCAGAUAUCAGGGGUGAAUCACAUAACCUGUGGUAUAUGAUUGAGGGGACCUAUUAAGACAUAUCACAUGACUAGAAAUACUAGUAGUUUGAUGCUGUUAAAUAUAUGUGAUGCGAUCUAGGAAAACCCUUCACAUGGUGCACUCAAAAAUUCUUUGAUUUUUGCUCCAUUUCAACCCUCUCUGGUGCAAUUUUACCAACUUAAGAUUCUGGUACCAUCCUAGCAACAUUCUGAACACUGUCCCCUAGCAAAACACUGGAUACCAUCCUCCCAAAAUCUUGGAUGUUGUUAGGAUGGUAUCAGAAUCAUAAGUUGGUAACAUUGCACCAUGUGAAGGGUUUUCCCGGAGAUGGACAUCUCCAAGGUCCAGUGUGGAGACUGUAGUAGUGUCUCUAGAUGAGGUGAAGGAUGGGCCUGCAUUGAGACUAGAAGUUGAAAAGGCAGUGAUCGCUAUCCACCGUACUGAGAUGGCUAAUGCUAGGCCCGUGUCUCACUCAACAGCUGAGAAAGAGGACAUCAGUUAGCCUGAUCAGGAGACCAGCAAAAUGGACUGCACCCUGAUCGAAUCACUUGUUGACCAAGGGAUACCUCAGCAGGACAAGGGGGGAGAUAGAUAGAUAGAUAGAUAGAUACAUACUUUAUUGAUCCCCAAGGGGAAAUUCAAGUAGGAGCGCAUCAAAUGUAAUGUGAGUGGUAGGAGACCAUCUCCACUGAAGGUUGAUGGAGAUCGUGAUCGAGAGUUCAGCAAAGAGGACUGCACGCUGAAUGAGUCAUCUAUUGACCAUGGGACACAUCAGCUGGACGAGGGGGGCAGUAAGACAUCCCUGUUCCAUGGUAAUGGAGACGAAGCUGUGGACCUGUGCCCACACCACAGGCCGGUGCGUGGCGCACGCCUGACACCCCUGAGAAGAGCGACGUGAUGGAGGAAGAGAGGAGGACAAUUCUGCAUGGAGGGGAAAUUACAACCCAGAAUACAACCACAGAGGCCACACUGACCACUGAGGAAGAGAGGAGGACAAUUCUGCAUGGAUUGUUUUGAGAGGAGGGGAC
Alosa sapidissima (American shad) is the source of this 1554-nucleotide long non-coding RNA. RefSeq lists it as uncharacterized. The record is from RefSeq and is a predicted model, not a curated record. NCBI's taxonomy places the organism in Eukaryota, Metazoa, Chordata, Actinopteri, Clupeiformes, Clupeidae. The transcript is spliced from 3 exons.